RNAcentral lists this ribosomal RNA (465 nucleotides) under uncultured bacterium. Its description in RNAcentral is "partial 16S ribosomal RNA". It matches the Rfam family "Bacterial small subunit ribosomal RNA", at positions 338 to 795 of the family's 1533-position model. The record is from RNAcentral.
CCUACGGGAGGCAGCAGUAGGGAAUUUUCGUCAAUGGGCGCAAGCCUGAACGAGCGAUGCCGCGUGAGUGAAGAAGGCCUUCGGGUCGUAAAGCUCUGUUGCGGGGGAAAAAAGGCAGCAUCAGGAAAUGGGUGCUGACUGAUGGUGCCCCGCCAGAAAGUCACGGCUAACUACGUGCCAGCAGCCGCGGUAAUACGUAGGUGGCGAGCGUUAUCCGGAAGGAUUGGGCGUAAAGGGUGCGCAGGCGGUCCUGCAAGUCUGGAGUGAAACGCAUGAGCUCAACUCAUGCAUGGCUUUGGAAACUGGAGGACUGGAGAGGAGGAGAGGGCGGUGGAACUCCAUGUGUAGCGGUAAAAUGCGUAGAUAUAUGGAAGAACACCAGUGGCGAAGGCGGCCGCCUGGCCUGUUGCUGACGCUGAGGCACGAAAGCGUGGGGAGCAAAUAGGAUUAGAUACCCCUGUAGUC